UUUCCUCUUCCAUUUUUUAGGGCAAUUGUUUGAAAGACGAAGCUCCUUCAGGUCUCCUUGGGUUUGCAACCCUUACCCUCCUAGAAAAAAAUCAUAGUUGCUAGACUACGACACUUCAGACCUGGUACUAACUGUUAUUAGCGCCGCUAAUAAUGGACGACGAGCUAUUUUCCGCUAUCCGGAGCUCAAGCGUUUGAGCCGCAAAAUGGACGAGACUCCUGGGGAAAAAAAGGAUGCAGAGAAUGAGGAGAAAACACUCGUAUGGAGCAGGGAGUAGGUAUUGUACUACUUCCUGGUAUGGAGCACUGAGAAGCGCUCUCACCGUCCAGGAGCGACACUGACUCGCACUGCUAUCUGGUGUUCACGAGGUGUUUGUCGCGCUGCAAACAAAGCGUCUCUCAUUAGGCGAUUUGAUCGCAGGACGAGAGAGGAGCUGAUGGACGAUCUCUCCAAUGUUCCUCUUGGUUCGGAGCGGCGCCGAGUGCUGACGUUGGGACUUGGAGUUCUAGCAUCCGUAACUGCCUCAGAGGGUGCCACUUCUCCCAUCAGCGUUGACUAGUCCGCCGAUCUCACUGAGCUCUGCUCUCCGAGCAUUCUGCUUCCAACACGACUUCCCAAAAGAAAAUGUGCUCGCGCAUUAGAAGGAGGUGAAAGAUGCACCUGCAGGAGAAUACAUGCUUUUAAGAGAAGGCAGAAACAUGCCCGGAUCCACCAGAACUAGUGCUGGCAAGUCAACAGAGGCGAGUACUGAUAAUGUUCCAGGUUGUGGUACGAUCACAUAAGCAAAAUUGACACUGGAAGGCACGGCGGUGGGUCAGCUCCUGGCCAGCGCCAGUUCCAGUGGAUAUCACGUGCAUCCAGUUCUAGUACUGCUACAAAGUAGUGCGGCCCAAAUAGAACUAGGGUCA
This is a long non-coding RNA of Sycon ciliatum, 908 nucleotides long. RefSeq lists it as uncharacterized. The transcript has 6 exons. Lineage: Eukaryota; Metazoa; Porifera; Calcarea; Leucosolenida; Sycettidae. The record is from RefSeq and is a predicted model, not a curated record.